UUUGCCCCUCUCUUUGGAUGCUAACUCUUCCCACUGUUACUUUUCUACAGGGCGAUCGUCUGUAUCCAACCAGCUUGGUUAGGCUGGUUGCGGGGCCGCCAUGUGAUGCACGGCUUCGGUCUUCGGGAUUCGUUUGGGGCGUCGAUUUCCAUUUGGGAUGGCGCUUUGCGAAUCUCACCGUUCGUUUAGUCUUCAUCUAAUCUCUCCUGUAGUUCGUUCAGCCAUUCCAAAGUUCGUCUGAGAGGUUUUCAAUUAGAGCUUUGUCCCUUGGUUGUCCAUUGCAUCGUUUGUCUUCAGGUAUGCAUCCCGUAAACUUUUUAACAGAUAUUUUGGUCUUCAUCUGAAGAAUUUGUUUGUUGACUGGGAGAUUUUUUGUCAAGAGACUUUCUUUCUUUUAGUGGUUUGAUGUUCAUUCGACAGUUGAAGGCUCUGAAAGCAAGCUAAUAUAUAGAGUGACAGUAAUUAUAAAUAGAUGGAUCAUGGAUCUUGGUGCAAUUUUCUCUGUUUUUUUUGGGGCUAUUUUUUAUGCUGUUUUGAUUCAUGGGUUGGUUUUUAUGUAUUUUGUUUUUAGAAGUUGGACUUUUUGGAAUUUGAUAUUGAUAUGGGAAUUGAAAGCUUCAGUUCAGGAUAAUGCUUUUCAGUGUGUGUGUUUUUUUAAUAUGUCAGUCAGAGACUUGAAUCUUAUCUGCAUAAUAUUUCUCCUCCUUUCUGUUUCUUUUGGAUUAAACCUGAAAAAAAAAAAAAAAAAACAAGUGUCCAAUGCAAUGCAAUUGAGACUCUACUUAAUGAAAUUGUUCUCUGGCUUUUCCUUAUCUGAAAAAUGCCAAUUUUCCAUGGAAACAAAGGAAAUUAGGAUAUUAUAUAGAAACAAAAGAAAUUGUUGUGUUAUGUAUUGCAAUACAUUUAGUGAAAAAACUUUUUUUUAAUAAAUGUUUUUUUUUUUCUUUUUCCAAUUCAUAGUGGAAAUAACUUUAAAGUGGGAAAAGAUCAUCAAUUUUUAACAAUGAGGAUGAGAUUUUUUUUAAAAAAAAGGUUGGCUACAUAUCAAAACACUGUUAAAGAUGUAGCACAUGUGGCACUAAUUACACAAAUUGUGUAAUGAUCUAUUGUUGUUAAUAUUUGCUUUCUUAUUUUAUUUUUUGUUUUUCUGUUCAUGUUUUUUUAUACUAAUUUUAUGUAAUAUUUACUGAUUUGGUGAUGUCAUGUUAGAGAUGUUCAAAGUUUGAGCACUACCUCCAAUAUUUGAAUUCUAAUUCUGAAUUUUAAUUAUUCUCUCUUUCUAAGUUUGAACACUACCUCUAUUAUCUGGAACAAAUUGGCAAAACACAAAACACAUUUCAAUUGAGAUAAAAUUUGACCAUGCAGAGAGCUUCUUUGUCUGAGGUUUGGAGGUGUAAGAGGAGUUGGGGUUGCACUAAUUUUUGUUUGUGGUAUCAUGGAGUCACACAGUCAUUUAAUGUUAUUGAUUACAUCUGUUUUGCUUGGUUAGGCUAUAGAAGCUCUGUUUAAUUAGUUUUUGGAUAUUGCGUUGUUUGAAAAUUCUUAUUUCUAUAGUUGUGCUAUUGUUGGUGUGUGUCCAUUUUGCUUCACUAGGCUAUAGAUGUAAUUAAGAAAUAAUAGUUUAAUUCAUGAAAGAUUUUUUCCCUUCCCAACUAUUGAUCUGUUGGUCGAAGUUUGAAACAUCGUUAUUAAAUGUUUUAAAUAUAAUUAACAAAACUAUAACCUAUAGCGUCUUAUCUCUACCUUUAUUCUACUUCUAUAACAUAGAGUUGUUUAUACAUCAUUGCUGCUUCUAUAGCUUACUUCUCCACUAGAUUAUCUUACUUCUAUAACAAAUUUGCUCAUUAGGUCACUAGAUCAUCUUAUUUCUGUUUAUAGGUUAUUAGAUAUUUUUAGAUCAUUUAAAUUGUGGUUUGUGCAGUAUGUGUUGUUGGCCUUAAUUCUAUAACAAUAGCCAUUGUUUUUGCACAAAUUUUCUCAUUUGUCGACACGGACACCUACCGUUUACCAAGUUUAUACCAAUAGGGUCAACACCCCUUGAGUUGAUUCUAUUAAAAUUGUCACAAUUGUUUUCAGUUUAUUUUCAAUUGAUUCAAUAAAAUUCACCUUAUACUUUUAUCCAUCAGAGUUAAAACCUCUUGAAUGGAGAAGAAGGAACAUCAGCCAGCUACACAACAAAUGCAGCAAUAGCCCUUGCAAGAAACAUCAAAAAAGCAAAAUCCAUGCCCACCACCGAUUAAAAUAUAGAUAAAUGCCUGUACUGUUAUA
Molecule: long non-coding RNA, 2268 nt
Filed under: Prunus dulcis (almond)
Lineage: Eukaryota; Viridiplantae; Streptophyta; Magnoliopsida; Rosales; Rosaceae
Description: sRNA ncRNA
Source: RNAcentral